This 1011-nucleotide ribosomal RNA is filed under the name Jahnula dianchia. RNAcentral describes it as "SSU rRNA". It matches the Rfam family "Eukaryotic small subunit ribosomal RNA", at positions 85 to 1107 of the family's 1831-position model. The record is from RNAcentral. Lineage: Eukaryota; Fungi; Ascomycota; Dothideomycetes; Jahnulales; Aliquandostipitaceae.
AACUGGGAAGGGCUCCAUAAUCAGUUAUCGUUUAUUGAUAGUCCCUUAUUCCCCGGGAUUUCUGUGGUAUUCUAGAGUUAAUACGUGCUAAAAACCUCGACUUCGGGAGGGGUGUAUUUAUUAGACUAAAAACCAAUGCCCUUCGGGGCUCCUUGGUGAAUCAUAAUAACUCAACGAAUCGCAUGGCCUUGAGCCGGCGAUGGUUCAUUCAAAUUUCUGCCCUAUCAACUUUCGAUGCUAGGGUAGUGGCCUAGCAUGGUGACAACGGGUAACGGGGGAUUAGGGUUCUAUUCCGGAGAGGGAGCCCGAGAAACGGCUACCACAUCCAAGGAAGGCAGCAGGCGCGCAAAUUACCCAAUCCCGACACGGGGAGGUAGUGACAAUAAAUACUGAUACAGGGCUCUUUUGGGUCUUGUAAUUGGAAUGAGUACGAUUUAAAUACCCUAACGAGGAACAAUUGGAGGGCAAGUCUGGUGCCAGCAGCCGCGGUAAUUCCAGCUCCAAUAGCGUAUAUUAAAGUUGUUGCAGUUAAAACGCUCGUCGUUGAACCUUGGGCCUGGGCGAUCGGUCCCCCUCACCGGGAGCACUGGUUCGGCCGGGCCUUUCCUUCUGGGGAUCCGCAUGCCCUUCACUGGGCGUGCUGGGGAACCAGGACUUUUACUUUGAAAAAAUUAGAGUGUUCAAAGCAGGCCUUUGCUCGAAUACCUUAGCAUGGAAUAAUAGAAUAGGACGUGCGGUCCUAUUUUGUUGGUUUCUAGGACCGCCGUAAUGAUUAAUAGGGUCAGUCGGGGGCAUCAGUAUUCAAUUGUCAGAGGUGAAAUUCUUAGAUUUAUUGAAGACUAACUACUGCGAAAGCAUUUGCCAAGGAUGUUUUCAUUAAUCAGUGAACGAAAGUUAGGGGAUCGAAGACGAUCAGAUACCGUCGUAGUCCUAACCAUAAACUAUGCCGACUAGGGAUCGGGGUAUACUCAUUUUUGGUUACCUCGGCACCUUACGAGAAAUCAAAGUGUU